AGGAUAAACGCUGGCGGCGUGCCUAACACAUGCAAGUCGAACGCGCUUUCGGGCUUCGGUGCGAGAGCGAGUGGCGGACGGGUGAGUAACACAUGGGUACCUGCCUUUCAGUGAGGGAUACCGGCGAGAAAUCGCCGACAAUACCGCAUGGGCUUGUGGGAACACAAGCAAAGUGGCGCAAGCCACGCUGGAAGAUGGGCCUGUGGCCGAUUAGCUAGUUGGGGGGGUAACGGCCUCCCAAGGCGACGAUCGGUAGCUGGUCUGAGAGGACGAUCAGCCACACUGGGAUUGAGAACGGCCCAGACUCCUACGGGGGCAGCAGUGAGGAAUUUUCCGCAAUGGAGGCAACUCUGACGGAGCAACGCCGCGUGCAGGAGGAAGGUUUUCGGAUCGUAAACUGCUUUUCUCGGGGACGAGCAAGGACGGUACCCGGAGGAAGAAGCCCCGGCUAACUACGUGCCAGCAGCCGC
This 470-nucleotide ribosomal RNA is filed under the name uncultured bacterium. RNAcentral describes it as "SSU rRNA". It matches the Rfam family "Bacterial small subunit ribosomal RNA", at positions 26 to 518 of the family's 1533-position model. The record is from RNAcentral.